RNAcentral lists this unclassified non-coding RNA (424 nucleotides) under Limulus polyphemus (Atlantic horseshoe crab). RNAcentral's name for it is "uncharacterized LOC111087115, transcript variant X1". Lineage: Eukaryota; Metazoa; Arthropoda; Merostomata; Xiphosura; Limulidae. The record is from RNAcentral.
GCGCGUUAAGAGAUAUAUUUUACACAAUGUUGCUACUAUUUCUGAGUUAGUAUAGCAAUUUAAUGUGUCUAUUUCAUUCAGUGAAGGACUGUAGGCCAUGUCUUGGACAAAUUGUAACAGGAAGGAACUGUAGGCCAUGUCUUGGACAAACUGUAACAAGAAGGGACUGUAGGUCAUCUCUUGGACAAGCUGUAACAAGAAGGAACUGUAGGCCAUGUCUUGGACAAGCUGUAACAAGAAGUAACUGUAGGCCAUGUCUUGGACAAGCUGUAACAAGAAGGAACUGUAAGUAUUCUCUUGGACAAGCUGUAACAAGAAGGAACUGUAAGUAUUCUCUUGGACAAGCUGUAACAAGAAGGAACUGUAAGUAUUCUCUUGGACAAGCUGUAACAAGAAGGAACUGUAAGUCAUCUCUUGGACAAGC